GAAUUAUGUCAGCAGGAGGAUCUGUGUUCUGAAAGGUUCUUCAGUGAACAUUUCAAGUAAAUACUCUCAUCCCGCCUCAAAGAAGCCAAAGUCUAAAUUGUGGUAUAAAGUGAAAAGAAGUGGGAAGAAAGAAGUUGAAGAGCUGAUGGGGGCUGUGGAGUAUCAUGAUGACACGAAGGAUCAUCACAUCCUGAGUAUCAACAACCUGAGAAAGAGUGACUCAGCAGAAUACACAUUCAGACUGGAGCAACAAGAUGGAACAUGGAAACAGUCUGACUUUUCUGGAGUGACUUUGGUUGUCACAGGCCUGAAAGUGAAGAUCCAUCCUGCAGUGGUGAUAGAGGGCCAGAGAGUCACACUGACCUGCAGUACCAGCUGCCCUCUGGCUGACAACACAACCUACAUCUGGUACUUGAACAGUCGACCUUUGACCCUGCCAGAGAACCAAAACAAACACCUGGUUCUAGACCCAGUCAGCAUGCAGGAAACUACUGCUGUGCAGUCGAAACUGGCAGAAAAUACAUUAACUCCACUGAAAGACCUCUGACUGUUAUAAAUAUUAAAGGGAAACAUACAGCAGCAGCAGCUGCAGCAGUCUGUGCUGCUCUCCUGUUGAUCUUACUUCUGGUUGUCUUCUUAUGGGUUAGAAGAAAGAGGACUUCAUGUAAAUCUACUAAAACUGAAGCAACGGCCAACAUUGAGCAGCUGAUCCCUGGUCCUGUGUAUGAAAACAUCUCAGCUCAACCUGCAGAGCCGGAAGAACUUCACUAUAGCAGAGUCCACUUCUCUAAGACCCAGACUGAUCCUCUUUACUCCACCGUCCAACCACAUCAGCCUCAAGAACAGGAGCAUGUCACUUAUGCUGCCGUCAACUUCAGAUCCAAAAUGACUUCUGAGUGAACAUUUCAUUACAUUCAUCUUGAUCAUUGGUACUUUCCAUUCCAGUAUUUCCAACAAUCCCACAAUACACAGAGGUGUGUUGUGGGCAAGAUUUCUGCCAAAUAUGAAGUACUUUUAACAUUACAAGUCUUCUGCACCACCAUUUCACUUCACUCCAUGCAAGACAGCCAAUCAUAUACAAAGACAUAUCAACCAAUGAGGUGUUACU
This is a long non-coding RNA of Micropterus dolomieu (smallmouth bass), 1108 nucleotides long. RefSeq lists it as uncharacterized. The transcript has 4 exons. Lineage: Eukaryota; Metazoa; Chordata; Actinopteri; Centrarchiformes; Centrarchidae. The record is from RefSeq and is a predicted model, not a curated record.